This 446-nucleotide ribosomal RNA is filed under the name uncultured bacterium. RNAcentral's name for it is "bacterial SSU rRNA". It matches the Rfam family "Bacterial small subunit ribosomal RNA", at positions 330 to 792 of the family's 1533-position model. The record is from RNAcentral.
UCCAGACUCCUACGGGAGGCAGCAGUGGGGAAUAUUGCGCAAUGGGGGCAACCCUGACGCAGCAACGCCGCGUGAUUGAAGAAGGCCUUCGGGUUGUAAAGAUCUUUAAUCGGGGACGAAUUUUGACGGUACCCGAAGAAUAAGCUCCGGCUAACUACGUGCCAGCAGCCGCGGUAAUACGUAGGGAGCAAGCGUUAUCCGGAUUUAUUGGGUGUAAAGGGUGCGUAGACGGGAAGACAAGUUGGUUGUGAAAUCCCUCGGCUUAACUGAGGAACUGCAACCAAAACUAUCUUUCUUGAGUGCUGGAGAGGAAAGUGGAAUUCCUAGUGUAGCGGUGAAAUGCGUAGAUAUUAGGAGGAACACCAGUGGCGAAGGCGACUUUCUGGACAGUAACUGACGUUGAGGCACGAAAGUGUGGGGAGCAAACAGGAUUAGAUACCCGCGUA